CAGCCGCCGCGGGAACACGUAGGUGGCAAGCGUUGUCCGGAAUUAUUGGGCGUAAAGCGCGCGCAGGCGGAUCAGUCAGUCUGUCUUAAAAGUUCGGGGCUUAACCCCGUGAUGGGAUGGAAACUGCUGAUCUAGAGUAUCGGAGAGGAAAGUGGAAUUCCUAGUGUAGCGGUGAAAUGCGUAGAUAUUAGGAAGAACACCAGUGGCGAAGGCGACUUUCUGGACGAAAACUGACGCUGAGGCGCGAAAGCCAGGGGAGCGAACGGGAUUAGAUACCCGCGUAGUCCCUGUCUCUUAUACA
Molecule: ribosomal RNA, 301 nt
Filed under: uncultured bacterium
Lineage: Bacteria
Description: partial 16S ribosomal RNA
Rfam family: Bacterial small subunit ribosomal RNA
Source: RNAcentral